Molecule: ribosomal RNA, 1253 nt
Filed under: Rathayibacter sp.
Lineage: Bacteria; Bacillati; Actinomycetota; Actinomycetes; Micrococcales; Microbacteriaceae
Description: bacterial SSU rRNA
Rfam family: Bacterial small subunit ribosomal RNA
Source: RNAcentral
GUGGCGAACGGGUGAGUAACACGUGAGUAACCUGCCCUUGACUCUGGGAUAAGCUGCUGGAAACGGCGUCUAAUACCGGAUACGACCUGCCCCGGCAUCGGGUGCGGGUGGAAAGUUUUUCGGUCAAGGAUGGACUCGCGGCCUAUCAGGUAGUUGGUGAGGUAAUGGCUCACCAAGCCGACGACGGGUAGCCGGCCUGAGAGGGUGACCGGCCACACUGGGACUGAGACACGGCCCAGACUCCUACGGGAGGCAGCAGUGGGGAAUAUUGCACAAUGGGCGAAAGCCUGAUGCAGCAACGCCGCGUGGGGGAUGACGGCCUUCGGGUUGUAAACCUCUUUUAGUAGGGAAGAAGGGCUUCGGCUUGACGGUACCUGCAGAAAAAGCACCGGCUAACUACGUGCCAGCAGCCGCGGUAAUACGUAGGGUGCAAGCGUUGUCCGGAAUUAUUGGGCGUAAAGAGCUCGUAGGCGGUUUGUCGCGUCUGCUGUGAAAACCCGAGGCUCAACCUCGGGCCUGCAGUGGGUACGGGCAGACUAGAGUGCGGUAGGGGAGAAUGGAAUUCCUGGUGUAGCGGUGGAAUGCGCAGAUAUCAGGAGGAACACCGAUGGCGAAGGCAGUUCUCUGGGCCGUUACUGACGCUGAGGAGCGAAAGCGUGGGGAGCGAACAGGAUUAGAUACCCUGGUAGUCCACGCCGUAAACGUUGGGAACUAGAUGUGGGGACCUUUCCACGGUCUCCGUGUCGCAGCUAACGCAUUAAGUUCCCCGCCUGGGGAGUACGGCCGCAAGGCUAAAACUCAAAGGAAUUGACGGGGGCCCGCACAAGCGGCGGAGCAUGCGGAUUAAUUCGAUGCAACGCGAAGAACCUUACCAAGGCUUGACAUAUACCGGAAACUUCCAGAAAUGGUUGCCCCGCAAGGUCGGUAUACAGGUGGUGCAUGGUUGUCGUCAGCUCGUGUCGUGAGAUGUUGGGUUAAGUCCCGCAACGAGCGCAACCCUCGUUCUAUGUUGCCAGCACGUCAUGGUGGGAACUCAUAGGAGACUGCCGGGGUCAACUCGGAGGAAGGUGGGGAUGACGUCAAAUCAUCAUGCCCCUUAUGUCUUGGGCUUCACGCAUGCUACAAUGGCCGGUACAAAGGGCUGCGAUACCGUAAGGUGGAGCGAAUCCCAAAAAGCCGGUCUCAGUUCGGAUUGAGGUCUGCAACUCGACCUCAUGAAGUCGGAGUCGCUAGUAAUCGCAGAUCAGCAACGC